This 492-nucleotide ribosomal RNA is filed under the name uncultured bacterium. RNAcentral describes it as "partial 16S ribosomal RNA". It matches the Rfam family "Bacterial small subunit ribosomal RNA", at positions 28 to 507 of the family's 1533-position model. The record is from RNAcentral.
GGUGAACGCUGGCGGUAGGCCUAACACAUGCAAGUCGAACGGCAGCACAGUAAGAGCUUGCUCUUACGGGUGGCGAGUGGCGGACGGGUGAGGAAUACAUCGGAAUCUACUUUUUCGUGUGGGAUAACGUAGGGAAACUUACGCUAAUACAGCAUACGAUCUACGGGUGAAAGCAGGGGAUCUUCUGACCUUUCGCGAUUGAAUGAGCCGAUGUUGUAUUAGCUAGUUGGCGGGGUAAAGGCCCACCAAGGCGAGGAUCCGCUGCCGGUGUGUGAGGAUGGUCGGCCACAUGAGAACUUGAACGCGGACACGGCUACUGCGGGAGGGACCAGAGUGGAAUAGUGGACAAUGGGCGCAAGCCUGGUCCAGCCAUACCGCGUGGGUGACGAAGGCGUUGCGGUCGUAAAGACCUUUUGUUGGGAAAGAAAAGCAGCAGGUUAAUACCCCGCUGUUCUGACGGUACCCAAAGAAUAAGCACCGGCUAACUUCGUG